UACGGAGGGUGCGAGCGUUGUCCGGAUUUACUGGGCGUAAAGAGCGCGCAGGCGGUCGUUCAAGUCGCGUGUGAGAGCCCCCGGCUCAACUGGGGAGGGUCACGCGAUACUGAUCGACUCGAAGGCAGGAGAGGCUCGCGGAAUUCCCAGUGUAGAGGUGAAAUUCGUAGAUAUUGGGAAGAACACCGGUGGCGAAGGCGGCGAGCUGGCCUGUUACUGACGCUGAGGCGCGACAGCGUGGGGAGCAAACAGG
This 253-nucleotide ribosomal RNA is filed under the name uncultured bacterium. RNAcentral's name for it is "partial 16S ribosomal RNA". It matches the Rfam family "Bacterial small subunit ribosomal RNA", at positions 524 to 776 of the family's 1533-position model. The record is from RNAcentral.